UACGAAGGUCCCGAGCGUUAUCCGGAUUUACUGGGCGUAAAGCGUCUGUAGCCUGAUAAAUAAGUCUGUUUUUAAAACUCUCAGCUCAACUGAGAAGCAGGAAUAGAUACUAUUUGACUAGAGGUUAUUGGAGGUUAGUGGAAUUUCCGGUGGAGCGGUGAAAUGUGUUGAUAUCGGAAAGAAUGCCAAAAGCGAAAGCAGCUAACUACAAUAAACCUGACGGUGAGAGACGAAAGCUUGGGUAGCAAACAGG
RNAcentral lists this ribosomal RNA (253 nucleotides) under uncultured bacterium. Its description in RNAcentral is "partial 16S ribosomal RNA". It matches the Rfam family "Bacterial small subunit ribosomal RNA", at positions 524 to 776 of the family's 1533-position model. The record is from RNAcentral.